RNAcentral lists this ribosomal RNA (1259 nucleotides) under Carnegiea gigantea. RNAcentral describes it as "SSU rRNA". It matches the Rfam family "Eukaryotic small subunit ribosomal RNA", at positions 1 to 1321 of the family's 1831-position model. Lineage: Eukaryota; Viridiplantae; Streptophyta; Magnoliopsida; Caryophyllales; Cactaceae. The record is from RNAcentral.
CCUGGUUGAUCCUGCCAAUAGUUAUAUGCUUGUCUCAAAGAUUAAGCCAUGCAUGUGUAAGGAUAAACUAAUUUAGACUAUAAAACUGCGAAUAGCUUAUUAAAUCAGUUAUUGAUUAUUUGAUAGCACCUGUUACGCGGAUAACUAUAGUAAUUCUAGAGCUAAUACGUGCAACAAACCCCGACUUCUAGAAGGGAUGCAUUUAUUAGAUAAAAGGUCAACGCGGGCUUUUUCCGUUGCUCUAAUGAUUCAUAAUAACUCGACGGAUCGUACGGCCUUUGUGCCGGCGAUGCAUCAUUUAAAUUUCUGCCCUAUCAACUUUCAAUGGUAGGAUAGUGGCCUACCAUGGUGGUGAUGGGUGACGGAGAAUUGGGGUUUGAUUCUGAAGGAGUAUGAAAAACGGCUACAACAUCCAAGGAAGGCAACAGGCGUGCAAAUUACCCAACCCUAACAUGGGGAGGUAGUGACAAUAAAUAGCAAUACCGAGCUCUUCGAGUCUGAUAAUUGGAAUGAGUACAAUCUAAAUCCCUUAAUGAGGAUCCAUUGGAGGGUAAGUCUGGUGCCAACAGCCACAGUUAAAAACCUCGUAGUUGGACCUUAGGGUGGGCCAACCGGUCUGCUUCGCCGUAUGCACCAGUUGUCCUACUCCUUCUGUCGGCGAUGCGCUUCUGGCCUUAAUGGAUCGAGUCGUGCCACUACUGCUGUUACUUUGAAGAAAUUAGAGUGCUCAAAGUAGGCCUACGCUCUGGAUACAUUAGCACAGGAUAACAUCAUAGGAUUCUGAUCCUAUUAUGUUGGCCUUCAGGAUCGGAGUAAUGAUUAAAAGGGACAGUCGGGAGCAUUCGUAUUUCACAGCUAGAGGUGAAAUUCUUGGAUUUAUGAAAGAUGAACAAUUGCGACAACAUUUGCCAAGAAUGUUUUCAUUAAUCAAGAACAAAAGUUUGGGGCUCGACGAUGAUCAGAUACCGUCCUAGUCUCAACCAUAAAAGUUUGGUGGAUAUUGGUGUUAGGACGCUGCCGACACCUUAAGAGAAAUCAAAGUUUUUGGGUUCCAGGGGGAGUAUGGUCGUAAGGCUUAAACUUAAAGGAAUUGACGGAAGGGCACCACCAGUAGUGGAGCCUAUGGCUUAAUCUGACUCAACAUGGGGAAACUUACCAGGUUUAGACAUAGUAAGGAUUGAGAGAUUGAGAGCUCUCUUUUGAUUCUAUGGGCGAUGGUGCAUGGUCGUUCUUAGUUGGUGGAGCGAUUUGUCUGGUUA